Molecule: long non-coding RNA, 5335 nt
Filed under: Sitophilus oryzae (rice weevil)
Lineage: Eukaryota; Metazoa; Arthropoda; Insecta; Coleoptera; Curculionidae
Description: uncharacterized LOC115875101, transcript variant X2
Source: RNAcentral
UUGACCUACUUUUUAGUAAUUUGGCCUACUGGUUAAAUUUAAAAUAACAUUAUUGUUAACAAAGAGGGCUGUGAUUUGUGCUAUAUGAAAAUACUUCCUUCUUAUUGGUCAACCCACAAAUGUCAUGAUGACUUCCGGAAAUUGGCGUCACUCAUGUUGAUUUUGAAUGCCGUAGAUCCGCAUCUCUUCUUCGCCGGUACUUAAAAUGUGAUUUUUCUAAUAAAAAGUGAGUUUUGUGUACACUACUUCUUCGUAAAUUAUUGCUUGUGCGUCACUCAGCGUCUCCAAAAAGAGCAACUCGAUAACAGUUAAUGAAAUUUACUUAAGUAAAUUUUGCCAGUGGUGUCCUGACCUAAGGUCCCGACUAAUUGGAUCAAAGAGUGACGCUCCAGAGCGCGACGCUACCUUCUUCCGUGGAGGAAACCUGCAUCGUCUCCUGUUUUGCCUUACGAUGACCUAUGUAGCAUGCGUAGGUACCCAAGGGAGUCACAAGCCUCUUGUUUACAAGCUAGCAGGUGUUCUAAUGGUAGAGGCACGGUAGAGGCUUCAGCCGGAUACGACCUGACCAAACUACGAAACUUUUUCGUGCACGUAUUGCGGGGCACCUCGAGGGCGUAGGGGACAAGAUACAGACACAUUUGAAGAUGAGGUGAGGCCUGUAGGAGGUCCCGGUGGAGGUCGCUCGAUAGGAAAGGGGAUGAUCUCAGACGAGACUGUUUAAUUGGGAUCCAGAGUAAAUGGUGAGGCAUAAUCAAGAGGGCUACCACACCUCGGACGCGACUUGAAGAAUAUUUUUUUAGAAAUUCUGGAUAGAGAGAGGCUAUAUAACAUACCCCAGCUCAACCUAAAUCAACUAAAGGUAAUUCGAGUUUGUGGCACGUUUAAAUCAAAGAAGAUUCCAAAUGAAAUAUUGCAAGGCGCAAGUGAUUGGUCCUAAAGCUUCUUUGAAUUCUCCCAGGCACCGUCGAAUAUCUGGUGCCGUAUUAAGUACCAACUCUAGAGGAUCGUCCGGUGUCCAGGGAGUUGGCGCCAUGCCCAAGUGGCGGCCUUUUUGUUGUUUAAUUACAAUGGGACUCAAGAAAUAUCGGUGAAAGGAUAUGGAUAUGGUGAUAAAGCAGCUGAGCCCUUAAAGAAAUUAAAAUUAUGAUUCGCGUCCCGCCGUGGUUUCAAAGCGGUAUUUAGGUACUUUCACAGCAUUGUAAGACCAUAUUUUUAUUUUGUUUUUUAAUAGGUACUCAUAAUUCUUCAUAUUUUAUUGAAUGAUUCAGAACCAAUUUACAAAAAAAAAUCAAUUUACAAGCCUUUGCAUUAUCAUUAUUUUAAUACUAAAGAUAAUAUGAAAACUUAAUAAUUAAAACUAACUAUAGUAUCUGACGAAAUUAUAUAGUAACUCAGUUAAAAUGCUUUACAAAAUUAUUUCAUGGACCUAAAAUGUAUUUUACCUACUUUUUUAUUUUCCUAAAUGUUUGUUAUAAUUUCCUUUUUUUAACUUAAUAAAUUAUCUUGAAUGUUAUAAAAAGUAGGUAAAGUAAUUUUUUGGGCAAUUUAUAGUAAUAUAGAUAUUUUAUGACUAAAAAAUAUUGGUCUCUACAGUGUUCCAUGCGUGAUGUACCCCAAUCAUAGAUUUUUUUGCUUAUUUAUAUGGCGUUAAUUACUAUUAAAUAUAUUUAACCCUACGACUUUUAACUAAAUUUUAUUUUGUUAAAUUUAAAAAUUUAAUUAAUGUUGCUACUGUCGUAUGAAUAACAACUCAAUUUAACCGAUUUUUUGCCACAAGAAACAAUGUUAAUUUUUGAACAUAACUCUUUGAUUGGUACUGCUUUGGAACCAAGAUUGUUGGGGAUAGCAGCUGGACUAGGGCCAUCUUCAUCAGGUAGGUAAAUAUAGGGCGCUUGUAGUUGUCUUCUUUUAUAUUAUUGUAAAGACGCCUAUAAUUUUCAAAAAAUAUAAUAUACUUGUAAAUAAAACGAUAGAGCAGGAAAAUGGUAGGAAUAGAAGAGGACUUGGAAGAUGGGAAGAACGGAAGGAAUAGAGUUGAAUGAAAAUGUGUUUAAAACAGUGGAGGGAGAUAAUAAGUUGAAUUGCUGGUGAAUAUUGUCAAGUCUGACGGGGAGGGGAGGUGAAGAAUUUUUGAGAGGACAUGCAGACAUUUUACGAGGGGCCAAUGCAGGGCUCAUUAUGAGAAAGCACUUAUCUUCAGCUGAAUAUUCCUCCUAUAAAUGGAAUAUAUUGUGUUCUAAACACUCUUGGAUGGCCCCUCUGCUUUAGAUUAUGCUGUCUUACGUCUUAGUAAAAUAUACUAGAUUGUCCAACCUAUGAAGUAAUCCAGAAACUGGAAUUUGCUGGUAAGAAAUAAGUAUUUAUUUUGCUGCUUUUGGCUGUUGCUUCCCUCCUGCUUCUCCUCAUCUUCAACCGGAUUCAGCAAAAAUUCCUCCUGCUACUCCACCAUAUACCAAAAGGUUGCUUCUGUAUUGUUUGCAUAGGCGUCUAUUUUUAUUCUGGUACUGUUUAAAACUUUGAUAAUCUGGACAAACUUUAAAUUUUAAAAAUGUCAUUGUACUGCAGUAAAAAUUAUAUAGUAGCUGAUAAUUUCUCCAUCAUUUCUAAAAUCAUGUUUUGAAUUUCAUUUAAAAUAUUGGUAAUGUAAACAAUUGAUCAGUUUAAUUACUGUUGUUAAUAAUUAUUUGCCAAUCAUAUUUUUAGUUAUACUACAUAUUAUUAUUAUUACUCUUUAGUUCACUUACAUAUUUUGACACAAGUAACAAUUCUAAUAUACUUUGACUAUGCUGUCAUAAUUAUUUAUAUAUCUGUAUUUUAUUUACUAACUUUUGUAGUGUAUUAUAUGGGAACACGACUUAAUUUUUUUUAAUUUCUUAUUGGUUCUAAUUAACAGCCCCUAGAAUUUCCAGAUUAUCACAGUUCUUUAUAUUUUACUUCCGCAAAAGCGUCACCAUAUUGUGGCAAUAUGAAAACAUUAUUUUUUUAAGGGCAUCAAAACUUUGUUUUUAAUGUUCUUGCAGUUUACAUACAGUUCGUUGCUUUCAACUGUUUAUAUGGUAAAUCUGAGUGUAACAUUUUUCUAAUAUUAAUUUAUAUAAAUUUUUCAUACAUAGAAAGUAUCAUAUAAUAUACAUAUAAACUGUACUGUAGCAUAACAGUUUAUUACCAUUAUUAGGUUUUUAAAAUUCUUUCAUAAAUUGGUUAGACAUAUUGCAUGUAGCAGAUUUUUUUAUUCUUUGUCUUCCUUGGGACUUGGGAUAAAAUUCAUAAUUAAAUUUCAAAAAAGGUUAAUUUUAUUUUGUAAUGAAGAGUGUUUUUUCAUUACAAAAUAAAAUUAACCUUUUUUAACCAAACAUUAUUUUCAUUUUUUAUUACAACAACUAAAUUAAAGUUUACUCAGAUGUGUUUAGUCAGUUUCAAAGUAAUGUUCUGUUUAGUAAAUUUUAUUUUGUGGGAUUUGCAUUCAUAGAGCUACUUUUAAAAAUUAAAAUAAGCACUCUAGAGGUUUUUAAUUGUUAACAUAAGCAGGUUCGUUUUUAAACUUAAUAAUUAAUUAAUGAAGGUGAAUUAAAUUUUUAAGUAUAUAUUUCUAGUAAUAGAUUUUAAAUAGUAUUAUUAAUAAAUACUAUUCAAAAUUUAUUAUUACGUAUUUUUUAGAAAGGUAUAUUUAAUAAUUUAAGUUACAUUAGUUAAUUAUUAUGUUAAUAAAAUAUAGAGUUUAUUAGUUAUAACAUCGAUGGGAUUUGUUUCUCCUUCGGUUUUUCUAGUGGGUAUGCAACCAAACAUACAUCAAUGGUAUAAUUAUGUAUGUCGAUUUAUUCAGUUUAUUUUUAAGAUUAUUUUUUGUUAAAAAUGAGUAAAUUCAAUUUGAGUACAUAUUUCAGUUAAGUAUCCAUGCUAAUAUACUUUAUAACUACAAAAACACACUAUUUUUAUUCUUGUAUUAUUGCAACUUUAAAUUUUCAAAUUUCAUGUCUGUAAUAAUUUUUUAGCAAUUAAUUUUGUUAGCUCAGUACAGUUAUACAGUUUACAGCUGAUAAUAAUACAAAAAUAGAAUUAAUUUUUUAAUAUAUGUACAUAAAUGACACACUUUAGCCGAAUAUAUUUUAUUUCUGUAAAACUAUAUUACGAGCAAUAUGAAUACAUUUAAAUUUGUCUCAGUACGCAUUUUUAAUGUCUUUUUAGUAUACAGUGCAUUGCUUUUAAAGAUACAUACAUAUUUCUUGAUAAACCUCUUAUCUAAGUUUUUUUUUUAAUUAUUAAUUAUUAGCCUUCUUUAUUGAUCUCAUUUUUUAAAGCCAAACAGUAUAAAGAAUAAGGUGGUAUUUGUUGAUGAUUGGUAAUAUUUUAGAUUUUUAAAUUUUUAUCAUAAAUUUUAAGAUAUUUGAGUCUGUUUUUUAUGUUUUUAUACUUUGCCCCCUUUUGUAUUCUAAAAAUUUUAGUUGCUAAUUUUAGAAUUUUUAAUAUUUUAUUGUUACAUUAAAUUAAAUAUAAUAAUAUGAACAAAAAUAUAUUGAGUAAAAUUUUUAGCGUUAGUGUCAAAGCAAUAAUUGUUAUACCUAUAAAAUUUUGAUGUACUUGUAUUCAUAGAGCUCGGAAUUCAUAGAAAAAUAGUAUUUUGAAACAAAUUAUAUAAUUAUGUAUAAUAUGAAACCGACAAAAUGUUAAAUAGGAGCGAUCUGAAAUCUGUUUCACUAGUGCCCUCUAUUUACGCGAGGCAAGAUAAAAAAUUUAAUCUACUAACAAUUUAAUUUAAAAAGCAUAAUGAAAUUAUAACCCAGUUUUAGGUAUACAUAUAUUAUAUUAAUAACGCAUUUUACAAUAUUUACGUUCUUCGCAUUUGUUUUUUUUUACUUCAUGCAAUUUAAUUUACUUCUGUUUCUUACGAUAAAAAUAUUAAAUUCUGAGUAUACAAUCUUAUACAAUUGAGUCCAUCAGCACAUUUUAAUUUUUAAUAUAUUUUUUAAAUAUGGAUCCAAUAAGCAAAUAGGGAAAUAUACGUUGAUCGUUGAUGAGAGAUCGCUACUAUUCUAUAUAUUUUUAUUAUUUAUGUUUUACUUACUGUGUAAGUAAAACAGUCUUAUUGUUUUUGUGUCAUGUUUAUAUUAGGAUAUAUUUGAUAUUAAUAAAAUGUCAAUAUUUUGGUUUCUUUGAAAAAUCUCAUACAUUGCAAUUAGGCAGGGAGUGUUCUAGUUGAAAUCAUUGGUGUGGUGAUAGGUGAUAGUGCUCCAAAGCUCACCCUGUAAACUGAUUAGUUUAUUUGGUACUUACACAAUUUUAAAUAAAAAAUCCGCCAAUUUUUGUUGCUAUUUUUUUACUUUUUUAAUUUUAUACA